Molecule: ribosomal RNA, 453 nt
Filed under: uncultured Porphyromonadaceae bacterium
Lineage: Bacteria; Pseudomonadati; Bacteroidota; Bacteroidia; Bacteroidales; Porphyromonadaceae
Description: partial 16S ribosomal RNA
Rfam family: Bacterial small subunit ribosomal RNA
Source: RNAcentral
ACGGAAGGCAGCAGUGAGGAAUAUUGGUCAAUGGGCGGAAGCCUGAACCAGCCAAGUCGCGUGAGGGAAGAAGGUCCUAUGGAUUGUAAACUUCUUUAGUCGUGGAGUAAUAAUGGCCUCGUGAGGCCAGAUGCAAGUACACGAAGAAUAAGGAUCGGCUAACUCCGUGCCAGCAGCCGCGGUAAUACGGAGGAUCCGAGCGUUAUCCGGAUUUAUUGGGUUUAAAGGGUGCGCAGGCGGUCUCUUAAGUCAGUGGUCAAAUCGUGAGGCUCAACCUCAUCCCGCCAUUGAUACUGGGAGACUUGAUUUCGGUCGAGGCAGGCGGAAUUUGCCGUGUAGCGGUGAAAUGCAUAGAUAUGGCGAAGAACUCCGAUUGCGUAGGCAGCUUACCAGGCCGACAAUGACGCUCAUGCACGAAAGUGCGGGGAUCGAACAGGAUUAGAUACCCUGGUA